UUGUCGAUCCUUUUGUGACCUUGUAAGCUAAAUUUGUCGUCAAACUGCACUUUUUAUUUUAUAACAAUAUAAACUUGUAAUCUGAUAAUCAAAGCAACAAACUAUAUUUAACAAUUGAUAGUAACAGUAUUUUUAAAUCUCAAAUUUUAAAAUGGUGACACCUAUUAACACCCAUUGACACUAUCAUGACAAAUUAAUAAAAUAGCCGAGAGCUUUUUGAGCCGAAAGGGUAAAAUGAAUGAAAUUCAAUGAUUGAAUUUCAAUGAGUGAAUUGUACACUUAGGAAUUUUUAUCAGCCUCUAAAUGUAUAAUGAAUUGUAUAAUACCCGACAAACGAUCUUGAAUGGUUAUAGAAAGUAUAAAAGCCAGCCAUUCAGCCGUUUUGGUUUGUAUUAGCAGUGUCUGUGCGCUUUUGAUUAAAAGAUCAACUUAAGAAGCUACAUUCGGUUAUCACUUUUUUAAAUCAGUUUCUGUUUUUUUAUACCUGUGAUCACGAGGAACCAUUUAACCUUUAUAACCUCAAGUCAAUUUAUUCAAUCGAAUUACCUUGGAAGGUGAAAAGUUAACCGUGAUUGAUCCUCACGAUUGAUCAAUGUUAACAUUAACACGAUUUAAGAUUCAAAGGCAAUUGUGUUAACAAGAUCUUGUUCACCAAUACAUCUUAUAGAAACCAUCCAACAUUGGUAAACGCAAAGAUUCAAUGAAAUGUAACGGAUCCCUGUCAACACCCAUUCAAUCUAACCUUUAACCUGUCAAAUUGGUGUCAACAUUUGACAAGAUUAUUCUUCUACAAUUUUACCCACAACUAACCAACCUAAUGUAAUGUAACAUGACUUUUUUGACUUCUGUGCAUAUGGACCUUCAAUCAGAUCAAUCAACCGAGAAUCUGAUCAAUCACAUGAAUUUUCCUACACAUAUUUUAAGUGACAAUGACUGAUAUUUCCUUUUUCUUCAUUUCGUUUCUUAGAUACAAAAAGCUGAUCAAUCUCAUCGUCAUCUUCAUCAUUGGAUUGCAGGAAAUGUUUAUUCAAUUAUCAUUUCACCGACUUGAUUGAUAAAUUAUUGUCAAAAUAAACCAGUCAAUUACACAAGUAGAUGAACCAAGAAGUCUUAAAAGGCCAAUGGAAAUAGUAUAAAUCGAUUUAAUCAAAUUCAAAGCUUCCAUUGUGAACCAGAUUGGAUUAACCUUUGAGACCACAAAAUCAAGGAAAUCCAAAUUGACUCAAUUUUGCUUUCGAUACCGAUUUCUGGACGAUUAAUCGGAUUGCAAGAGAUCAACUUUCCAAAGAUUAGUUCAUUAAUCUUCAACAUUACCCCUUUUAUUUGAUUUUAUAAUCCAAUAUAGAUGUUAAAUGUGAUUAAAGUCUAAAUCACAGUGUUCAAUGAUCAAUGUAUAUCAAGAAGAUAUCUGAAUACAAUUUGAAAUGCUUGUUGACCAGAUAAGUUGAUAUUAGUAACAACAUCGCAUGCAACUAAGAUACUAACAUGAAUUAGUAUCAAAAUGGGUCAUCUUAAACUACUAUAACAUUAUUAAUAACAUAUAAUGUAUUUAAGACGAAGAAUGAGAUGAAUCGAUAAAGUUAAUCGUGUUGAUCAAAUUGUAAUCUAAAGAAUUUUCGACAAGCAUAACAUUUAAUUGUAUUAUUUACUAUUAUCAUUGUUUAA
Tetranychus urticae (two-spotted spider mite) is the source of this 1665-nucleotide long non-coding RNA. RefSeq lists it as uncharacterized. NCBI's taxonomy places the organism in Eukaryota, Metazoa, Arthropoda, Arachnida, Trombidiformes, Tetranychidae. The record is from RefSeq and is a predicted model, not a curated record.